AUUAAUGUGGCCGAAUAGGCGAUAGAUUGUAAAUCUAUAUAUGGUAUUAAUACCCUUAAUC
RNAcentral lists this transfer RNA (61 nucleotides) under Arion ater ater. RNAcentral's name for it is "tRNA-Tyr". Lineage: Eukaryota; Metazoa; Mollusca; Gastropoda; Stylommatophora; Arionidae. The record is from RNAcentral.